This 468-nucleotide ribosomal RNA is filed under the name uncultured bacterium. RNAcentral's name for it is "partial 16S ribosomal RNA". It matches the Rfam family "Bacterial small subunit ribosomal RNA", at positions 28 to 507 of the family's 1533-position model. The record is from RNAcentral.
GACGAACGCUGGCGGCGUGCUUAACACAUGCAAGUCGAACGGAAAGGCCCUGCUUUUGUGUUGUACUCAAGUGGCGAACGGGUGAGUAACACGUGAGUAACCUGCCCGUUACUUUGGGAUAACUUCAGGAAACUGGGGCUAAUACCGGAGAGGAGCUCCUGCUGCAUGGUGGGGGGUGGAGAGUUUCGGCGGUUGGGGAUGGACUCGCGGCUUAUCAGCUUGUUGGUGGGGUAGUGGUUUACCAGGGCUUUGACGGGUAGCCGGCCUGAGAGGGUGACCGGCCACAUUGGGACUGAGAUACGGCGCAGAAUCCUACGGGAGGCAGCAGUGGGGAAUAUUGCCCAGUGGGCGGAAGUCUGAUGCAGAAACGCCGCGUGCGGGAUGACGGGCUUCGGGUUGUAAACCGCUUUCGCAUGUGACGAAGCGUGAGUGACGGUAAUGGGUAAAGAAGCACCGGCUAACUACGUG